Molecule: long non-coding RNA, 2606 nt
Organism: Neogale vison (American mink)
Lineage: Eukaryota; Metazoa; Chordata; Mammalia; Carnivora; Mustelidae
Exons: 6
Source: RefSeq, a predicted model, not a curated record
GCCGGGCCCCGCCGCUGAGUGGGGAAGGCGGGAGUGCGGGGUGCGGAGAGCACACGUCUCAGGCCGGGCCUGUGAGGCCUAACUGUUCCUCAGACCGUAAAACCACAGUAUCAGGCCCUUGGGGGGCGAGCAGAAGCCCAGCCCAGAACCAGGAUGAGCGCCCCGGGGGCCGGCCCUGCCGCCGCUGCGAAUGACGGUUGGCGCGAGGUUCUGUCAGGCGCCCCGCGUUCCGUGCCCGGGAGGCCUUUUGUGUCCCCGAAGCCCGUAUGUUGUCUGUGGAGGCCCCUCUUGCUUGGAACUCGGAACUCGCAGGGACAGCCGACCCGGCCUGAGUCGGGGACCGCGAGGGCGAUGGGGUCCGAGCGCGUCUUCAGGCCCAAGCGAAGUACGAUAGCAGAGGGAACCCCGACGCUCGCCCCGCAGGAGUCCAGUAGAUGGAAAACCCGCUCCCUGGGCAUCUGCCUGUGUCUGAGGGGAGGUCCCUGCUCCUCGCGUCCUUCCAGGCACGUUAAAGGACCACCUAGUGCGAGGUGCCUCGGGAGAAAGCAAGCUGCAGAGGCGGGCCCUCCUGUUCAGCAAAACGUUGGUUUCCAGCCCCCCGUCCCCCGCCUCCAAUGCUCCUUGAGCGCCUCGCCUCCGCUUGGGGCUGCCAGGUGCUGUGCGUGUUUAGAAGGGACCCCCAGGUGGACCUGAGGCUGGCAGCCCUGGAGAGCCACCCAGUACUGCCCCCCGGUGAGCCGAGAGCAGGAAGCCUCUGUGGGAGCAGAGGGAACUAAACGAGACAGGAGGAGCUCCUGUUUGUCACUCACCGGAGUGAGCCCCGCUAUGUUAGAUACUAAAGAAGGCUUCCCCACAAUCCAUUUGCAUCUGCUUUGACUGAUGGUUUCUAUCAACCUACAAAGACUGACUUAUUGGUGAGGGCAGCUGGACAACUCUGAGAGCAACUUAGAGAAAUCCAUCUUGGGCACACUCUAUAAAGGAGCUCCUUCUCUGGAAAUAGCACCCCAGAUAAGUGCACAAAAGCAAGACACCCUCGUGGACCUACUUCCUCCCGCUUUCAACACCCUGAUGCCUGAAGCUAUGCUUGAUACUAAAGGAGGUUUCCUACAUUUGCAUCUUCUGUAUUUUGAAAUUGCAACUAUGGACAGUUAUGGCUAAUCCUAGUAGAUUGUCUUCCCUUCUUUUAACAUCUUGGAUGAAUUUGGGGCACACUAAUGUGUUAAGUGAAGAUGGAUGUUGAAUAGAUACUGUGUAGAUUCACACCAGCCAGCCAUCUUAAAAUACCUGCAUGGGCCACAGAGAUAUCUGCGGAGAAAGUGUGAAUGACCCAUGUUCUAGGUCUGUGGAGAUCCUUUGAGAUAAGAAGUGAAUAUUCAGCAAGUUUGAGACUCCUGGAUGUUGGUAGUUGUACUUCACUUUGUCUCUGAAUUGAUAGCCGUUAUAAGGAACAAGCACAUUGUCCCCACUGCCUUUGUGAAAAUGAACUGAGCUUCCUAGGGUGGGUGGGAGAUAGAAAGUUGUUCUUCUUGUUGAAAUGUAAUGAAUUUCACUCUCAGGUAGUUUAUGGUUGUUUUAAUGUUCACAUUGACAUUUCUUUAAGGACGAGCCACAUGUUUUAGGCAUUUUAAAUUAUAUCAGUGGCUAUAUUUUAGUUCUAAUAAUCAUAAAUUUUUUACUAUUUCUUUAUACAGUCCCUCAACUUUCACCCCUUUUUUCUUUGCCAGUGUGUAGAAUUUGACAGCAGUAUCAAGAGCUGAUGAGGAAGAGAAGAUGGAAAGGAGUCUAGCGACUUAAAAAUCUCAUAGCGUUCUCUGUGAGGUGACCUUUUUCCUGCUGGGGCUCAACUUAUUUAGGAGAUAAAGAAGAUACUCAGGCCUGUGAUAGUAUCAACAUGUCAUAUCUGAGCUUAUUGAAAUGUUUCAUCCCUUUCCUUAUUCUUUAUUCUUUAUAUUACAGUUUACUUUUUGUGCUCCUAAGUUGAUUCAUUUGUUUCCUACUAGUAUUUGAAACACCAUGUGGCCAACUGAGUCCUAACAAAUUGACUUCUGAUGAGGAGGGGAAAGGCCCAUGUGCCCACCUUCCGAAUCCAUUUACCUGUGCAACUAAAGAAUUUACACCAAACCUUCGAUUGAAAGUGAUUAAAAGGCGACUAUCAAGACUAAUAGAAUUCUAUAGCUGUCUUCUAAGAGAAGAAUGUGCUCGAUUAAAAUCAUGCUUAUGGAAUGGUAACCGCAUUUGGCAGUACCUAUCUAUGAAAAGACAUUUUCUUUUUUUUGGUUAAAGGUUUCAUUUAUGUAUUUGACAGAGACAAAGCGAGAGAGGGAACACAAGCAGGGGGAGUAGGAGAGGGAGAAACCGGCUUCCUCCUGAGUAGGGAGCACAACAUGAGGCUCUGGUCCCAAGACCCCUGGGAUUGUGACCUGAGCUGAAGGCAGAUGGUUAACGACUGAGCCACCCAGGCGCCCCGUGAAAAGAUAUUUUCAAAGGUGAAAUUUAUAAAAUCUGAUGACAGAGUCUGCAUUAACAGAUAAACAUUUGUAAUCAAUUUUUUUUUUUAGAUUUUUAAAAUUUAUUUGACAGAGAUCACAAGUAGGCAGAGAGGUAGA